UACGUAGGGGGCAAGCGUUGUCCGGAUUUAUUGGGCGUAAAGAGCGUGUAGGCGGCUAUGCAGGUCCGCUGUGAAAACUCGAGGCUCAACCUCGAGACGUCGGUGGAAACCGCAUGGCUAGAGUCCGGAAGAGGAGAGUGGAACUCCCGGUGUAGCGGUGAAAUGCGCAGAUAUCGGGAAGAACACCCGUGGCGAAGGCGGCUCUCUGGGACGGUACUGACGCUGAGACGCGAAAGCGUGGGGAGCGAACAGG
This 253-nucleotide ribosomal RNA is filed under the name uncultured bacterium. Its description in RNAcentral is "partial 16S ribosomal RNA". It matches the Rfam family "Bacterial small subunit ribosomal RNA", at positions 524 to 776 of the family's 1533-position model. The record is from RNAcentral.